UCUUGCCUUCCCCUGGGAAAUGAAGAGGAAAUGGGAACUUCAGGCUGCUCCCCAGGGAAGGACACGGGAUGGGUUCCUGCAGCUCUCAAGGCUCCAAUCGAGUGCAGCAGAGAGAUUAGGCCUUGGGAAACUUCCAGAGACAGUGACGACUUCAGUAACUGAGAAGCAGAGGCGGGAGGGCUCGGAGCACAGCCCCGACUCUGGAUGUCGGAGGGGCUGGACAGCAGCCCCUUCUCGCUCAGCCUGGCCCGUCACUCCACAAUGCUCAGCCCUUCUUCCUGGGCUCCCUUUACCACUGGCCUCCUCCCGCUCUGUGUCCUUGCACCAAUUCAAAUUGUAUUUACUGGAAUCACAAGAACAAGCAAGGAGGACCCUUGAUAUUCUCUGACCUUAGGGUCUGGGAGAUUCUGAGCUUGGAAAACUGGGUUGCAACUGCUGAUCCCUCCACUGUCCAUCCCGACUCCCCCGCGCUGUUACCUCUGCUUUCGGGUCCUCCACGCCCUCCGUGGGGACUCCGCCUCCCUCCUAGACCUGGGAGCUGUCUGCACCCACCUCAGCACUGCCUGG
Long non-coding RNA from Heterocephalus glaber (naked mole-rat), 567 nucleotides. NCBI's taxonomy places the organism in Eukaryota, Metazoa, Chordata, Mammalia, Rodentia, Bathyergidae. The record is from Ensembl.